GAUGAACGCUGGCGGCGUGCCUAAUACAUGCAAGUCGAGCGAACAGAUGAGGAGCUUGCUCCUCUGACGUUAGCGGCGGACGGGUGAGUAGCACGUGGAUAACCUACCUAUAAGACUGGGAUAACUUCGGGAAACCGGAGCUAAUACCGGAUAAUAUAUUGAACCGCAUGGUUCAAUAGUGAAAGAUGGUUUUGCUGUCACUUAUAGAUGGAUCCGCGCCGCAUUAGCUAGUUGGUAAGGUAACGGCUUACCAAGGCAACGAUGCGUAGCCGACCUGAGAGGGUGAUCGGCCACACUGGAACUGAGACACGGUCCAGACUCCUACGGGAGGCAGCAGUAGGGAAUCUUCCGCAAUGGGCGAAAGCCUGACGGAGCAACGCCGCGUGAGUGAUGAAGGUCUUCGGAUCGUAAAACUCUGUUAUUAGGGAAGAACAAAUGUGUAAGUAACUAUGCACGUCUUGACGGUACCUAAUCAGAAAGCCACGGCUAACUACGUG
Molecule: ribosomal RNA, 497 nt
Filed under: uncultured bacterium
Lineage: Bacteria
Description: partial 16S ribosomal RNA
Rfam family: Bacterial small subunit ribosomal RNA
Source: RNAcentral